Molecule: ribosomal RNA, 404 nt
Filed under: Nosema sp.
Lineage: Eukaryota; Fungi; Microsporidia; Nosematidae
Description: partial small subunit ribosomal RNA
Rfam family: Microsporidia small subunit ribosomal RNA
Source: RNAcentral
GACUGCUCAGUAAUACUCACUUUAUUUUAUGUAAAUUUUUAAUUAACUACGUUAAAGUGUAGAUAAGAUGUUUACAGUAAGAGUGAGACCUAUCAACUAGUUGUUAAGGUAAUGGCUUAACAAGGCUGUGACGGGUAACGGUAUUACUUUGUAAUAUUCCGGAGAAGGAGCCUGAGAGACGGCUACUAAGUCUAAGGAUUGCAGCAGGGGCGAAACUUGACCUAUGGAUUUUAUCUGAGGCAGUUAUGGGAAGUAAUAUUAUAUUGUUUCAUAUUUUAAAAGUAUAUGAGGUGAUUAAUUGGAGGGCAAAUCAAGUGCCAGCAGCCGCGGUAAUACUUGUUCCAAGAGUGUGUAUGAUGAUUGAUGCAGUUAAAAAGUCCGUAGUUUAUUUUUUUAUUAAGCAA